Molecule: ribosomal RNA, 253 nt
Filed under: uncultured bacterium
Lineage: Bacteria
Description: partial 16S ribosomal RNA
Rfam family: Bacterial small subunit ribosomal RNA
Source: RNAcentral
UACGGAGGGAGCUAGCGUUGUUCGGAAUUACUGGGCGUAAAGCGUGCGCAGGCGGCGCGUUAAGACAGGUGUGAAAGCCCCGAGCUUAACUUGGGAAUUGCGCUUGUGACUGGCGUGCUGGAGUGUGGCAGAGGGAGGUGGAAUUCCACGUGUAGCAGUGAAAUGCGUAGAGAUGUGGAGGAAUACCGAUGGCGAAGGCAGCCUCCUGGGCUAGUACUGACGCUCAUGCACGAAAGCGUGGGGAGCAAACAGG